This is a long non-coding RNA of Peromyscus californicus insignis, 6759 nucleotides long. RefSeq lists it as uncharacterized. Lineage: Eukaryota; Metazoa; Chordata; Mammalia; Rodentia; Cricetidae. The transcript has 3 exons. The record is from RefSeq and is a predicted model, not a curated record.
AGGAGGGAGCGGCCACCGGGAAGGGCUCGCAGCCGCCGCCCCGGGGCACAACGCGUGUAGCCGGCCCGGCCACCCGUAGGUUGGACAGCGCCCGAGGAAGUAAGGUUCCCAGGAUCUAGUUUGAGCGCCACAUCCCAUCACCAAUUCCCAGCCUACUGCUCUACUUCCUGCCAGCCCUCACAGGCAUUUGGACCUGAGACCCAUAGUGUCAAAGUCUCACCUGAAGGACCAAGGACAGGACCAAGACCAGUGACAAAACCUACAUCUUUGAGCCACAGCCAAGAAGAAAGAGGACCAGGCUGGGAAUCUUUUCUCACUCUGUUCUUCGUCAUCAGGGUGGACCCAACCCAUUCUCUUCCUGGAAGUAAAGCCAAAGGAUGAAACAAAGUAAGAUGCAUGAAAGUGGGCAUUGUGAUGAUUGCCACCAGGCCUGAUGACCUGAGUUCCAUUCCCAGAACCGGCAUGGAAGAAGAAAAGAAUAAACUCCUAUUUGAGUCACUCUCUGACCUCACACACUCCUACCCCACCGCACAAACAAAUAAAUUUAACUUUAAAAAGUUUUAAAGACACAUGAAAGUACAUAAUGAAAAGGAAACCUUUCAAAUGUUGCAUUUUACCAAAUCUAAGAAUCCAUUUUUAAGUCACAGCAUUCAGAAAGAAAAAACAUGAUACAGAUGCAAAUAUGACCUAUCAAUUUUAAGAUGCUUCAAGAUUUCAUUAAUGUUUACGUGAAAAAAAACUGCUUUAGAAUUGUCACAGCAUUCUUAACUAUGUAUUAUGCUGAGAGCUGCUGGUAGUGACGGCUUUACCAGAGGCUGUGGGAGUAUACAGCAGGUGACAACUAGUAUUCAACAGGUUGACCUACGAGAUGAAUAACUCUCUGAUGGGAAACCCCACUUGGCAAAGACCAUGGGGUCACUGAUUGUAAGUGACUGGCUGUACCCAUCUGUAAUUGUUCUCAUGUGCCACUACAUUUCUCCCCUAAGAACUGCCAUGGGUGUUUUCCCACUGCUUGUGUGUUUAUCUCAUGUAUGUAUUCCAUCUAUUGGGCACACUUACAGCUGUGGAUGGUCAAGAAGAUGAUUUCUGCUUAAACUGUAUAAUUCUGAUGAACAGAAAUAAUACUGGGAUUUUUUCAUAACUGACAUAACAAAGUAACAGUAUUCUCAGUCACAAAGACAGCCUUUUACACAUUUAGCUAGCUCAAAACAGACUAGCUGCCCCUGCAGAGAAUACACAAAGACAAGUUCCCAAGUGUUUGUUGAAUCAAGGCAGGGCAUGAAACAACUUUGGUAGACAUAACCCUCUGCAGUAAUGGACUUUCUGCACGUACCCCUACCACUCAAGGUACAGCCAACUAAUUGUUUAUUGUUUAGGUCCUGGGUUUCAAUGUCACUUCCCAUCUGGGAACCCUGACCACUCAGAGCUACGUGUUACUUUACUCACCAUACCCAAUAAAUACUACCUCCCUAGCCUGAGAGAAACUGUGUGACUUAUCAUGUGUUAUGAGAAUGGGUCAGACCCUGAAAUUGUAACAUAUAAUUGUCCAGAGUUUGGCUGUUGAAGUGUGUGUGUGUGUGUGUGUGUGUGUGUGUGUGUGUGUGUGUGUGUGCAUGCUGAAAGGAAGAUGUAGCUGAGUGUGUAGAGAGAGAAUAUGUGGAGAUUUGUAACUUUGUGGAGACAAGAAAGAUAAAGCUGUAUAGAAAAGAGAUGAGUAUGUAGGACAGAGAUGUGGAUAUAGGGCAGAGAGGUAUGUGAAAAAGAGAGUGAGUGAAUGAUGUAGUAGUGUGUGAAGGAAUGUAGCAGAGUGGAGAGAAGAAAUGUGUAUAGGAGAGAUGUGGAGAUAUAUAUAAAGAGAUGUAUAUAGAAGUAUAUGGCUGUGCAGGAGAGAGAUGUAUGUAUGUAAAGAGAGAUAUAUAGCUGUAAAGAACGUAGCCAUGUGAAGAUAGACUUUCAGAAAGAGAUUUUUAAAAUGAAGUAAAAGAGAAAGUUAGUGUCAGAAAGCAUGUGUGUUUCCUUAUUUUUUUUCCCCUCAGAUAGAAAAGUCUAGCCCUCAGAGAGAUAAGAAUUUUUCCUAAGCCCUCACUGCUGUGGGAUGUUCUGUAUGUUAAAUGUGUUGCUCUGAUUGGUUAAUAAACAAAACACUGAUUGGCCAAUAGCCAGGCAGGAUGUAUAGGCAGGACAAGGAGAGAGGAGAAUUCUGGGAACAGGAAGGCUGAGGCAGAGAGAUGCUGCCAGCUGCCACCAUGAGAAGAUGUUAAGAUACCAGUAAGCCACGAGCCACAUGGCAACUUAUAGAUUAAUAGAAAUGGGUUAAUUUAAUACAUAAGAACAGCUAGCUAGAAGCCUGCCAUGGCCAUACAGUUUAUAAGUAAUAUAAGUCUCUGUGUGUUUACUUGGUUGGGUCUGAGCGGCUGUGGGACUGGCGGGUGAGAGAGAUUUGUCCUGACCGUGGGCCAGGCAGGAAAACUCUAGCUACACCUCACUACUCUGAGGCAUUCUUUUUGCUACCCUGGAGUAGUUCUGGGAGCUGGCUUCCCAGGCUGCAGUAGUAUUAGCCUGAUAGUGCCAAUGUCCCCGGCAAGUAUUUUAAGCAACCCUGGCAGUUACAGAAAGACAAUCCACAUCGCGGUUUAGCAGGCCCUGCACUGUUGCUGCUACAUGUCAGGUGCAGCAGGAAGCACCCAAGAGAAUGAAAAUACAAAAUGGUAUUUGGGGACUAUCUUUAGCUUACAGAACAAUCCACCCUACAUUUCCUUAAUGAGCUCACUUACUUCAGGUAUAGUUACCAAGGUCGCUUGCUAGUAUUUGCCCUUUUGGUUUUGGUUUGGGUUUUUGUUAUGUUUCGUUGUUUUGUUUUUUGUUUUUGACAGGGUCUUGCUUUAGGUCACUGGCUGGCCUGGACGUUUGGCAUGUCUUUUGACUUUUCAAGAAAAUGUUCGUGGCAUGACGAUAUGCCUGUGCUGCCAUUGCAUCAGUAACCCAUGGAGAUCACAUGGUAAAACCAUUGGCCUAAGAAAUGUGUUGUAUGCAAAAGAAUUACUGAAACAAAUAAGAGCUAGAGAGAGUGAAAAUGGUGCCACUAAAAAGCAGGCAGCAAUCCUGAAGGAGUCCCAGAUGAUGAGCCCAGCUUGCCAGCGCAGGUAAGAGGCUGUGUCUACACCCGUCUUCAGCAGACAUUAGGAUGUGAAAAAGACUCAUAAGAAGCUGAGGAAAUAGAAAGAAGCAAAUUCAAUUCUAGAUUCAGUGAAGUCAGCAGCCUGAAACCUUGUACAGGGUGUUUUCUGCAACCCUGGGUCCAUUCACCAAUUCAUCAUUUUUGCCCACUGCUGUGUGUUCAGUUAUAUGAGGAUGUGAUUCCUUUCAUGCAGUCGCAUGUGCUUUUCUUUGAAUAACCAAGUGUGUGAAAUAAGUGAUUGCAUCUAAUUAAAGAUAACUCAGUAACUCAUAGAAACACUGGCUGGUUUCAUGUCCUCUUUCACGCAGAGAAACCUCAGCUACGCAAACUGGCAGAUGCGAAUAGACUACUUCAGAGCUCAGCUGCUCUCCAUCAGGGAGAAACAGGUAAACUUUUACCUUUUUUAGGUAGAGCUCCCCCAAGUCAGGUGCAAGCCAGCACAGGACUAAAUCUUGGAUGUUCCUAUGAACCCUGCCUCAUUAUGUAUGGUUUUUACAAUCUGAAGCUUCCCCCCCAAAACCCCAUUAUGCCUAGCCAAGCGCUGGGGCCCAAAGCACAUGGAGCACCUGGCGGCUACCGUGUGGUGACGGCACAGAGGGAACCAAGUCUGAGUGCUGGUGCUCAGUCUAGAACACCAAAGCACUGCUGCCUCCUGGCUACACGUGGCUGGAAGAAUCUAGCCUUUCUGGACAUUAAACUGAAUUCUUGGGCUGCUCAUGUUUUUAACUUGUUCAAUUUUUGAAAAGUCCUACAACAAGAAUUUCAUUCAAAGAGACCAGAGUUCUAAAAUGAGCUGUUUGGGCUAAACAGUAAUUGCAGGUGUCUUACCUACAUCCCUCUCCAUAUUCAGGGUUAACAGAACCCACUCAGCUGGGAGUCUAACCAUUCAGAAUAAAGAACAUACGUUUCGUUUGUCUCUCAUGGUGUGGACCUGCCACACGUAGCUUUCUACAAUCUGCUAGACACACACACAGGGCUGAGUUGUAGCCACUGUAAUAUAGAAAGAAGUCAUGUGAGCACUUGCUGGCAUUGAUCCUUAAAAGCAAGUGCAGGUACAACAUCCUGCUUCCAAUCUUCUGCUUUUUCUUCUGGCUGGACAUUGGAGCUCCCACAGACAUCUCAAACCACGAGGUAGGCUUCAGGAUAAAAGGUUUUGGCACCGAAGCAAAAGACAUAAGAACCCCGAGCCCCAGAAAUCCAUGGCAGCCACGCGAUAAUUAUCUCUAGAUUAGUUAAAGGAAAGAAAGAAAGAGAGCCCUGUGGCGAGCCGCUCCUUUUCUUCCUGUUACAAGCAGCCAUUCUAGUCCCCAAUGGGAGAUAACGUUCCACCUGACCUCUGGAUCGCAAUUCUUCAUUCACCACAACAGUGACUAGGAAUUCCAUCUCCAUAUGGCACAGACAAUGUUUUAUAACUUAAGACUCUGUUAGCUCACUCAUAAAAUUGUUACAUCUAAGCGAUAAGGCAGCUAUUAAAAUUGUGUGACAUCAAGGACAUAAAGAGCUUAGCUUGGUGGCUGGCUGUGGUGUUUUCUGCUACGCUUCAGCAAGUACAUGGCUGUGUCUACUGUACCUGACUCCAAGGCCAGUGAUGCACUAAGGUCCCCAAAGACUUCUUCGAGACAGGCCCAGCUCAGACCUGCAAUCCUGGUUCAGGUCACCUGUGAUUUCCCUAGUCUCUGCUCCUUCCUUUGUACAGAAUUCUAUUUCUUCGAUCUUAUAAUUCCAGUGUAGUCUAGAGCACUUGAAGCCAUCCAAGUUGAUCACAUGACUUAAAACAGUUUGUAGCUAUUUGCGACACAAUAGUUCUAAGACUGUUUGAUAUGGCCAAGUGAGAAUCUGAUUCAUUCUCCAUCUGUCCAAAAAAUAAUAAUAAUGAAUGAGAAAUUUAGGUAAUGAGAGGGAGGCAUUUCUAUUUUAUUGUUUUAUUUUUCACUUUUUAUUAUAGACGUUAUCAGGCACACACAAAAGUAGAUCAAAUGAUGUGGUUGAUUCCUUUGUACCCACAACGCAACAUUAAUAUCAAGACAUAAUCAACCUUCUUUCACAUGUAUAACCCAACUUCAUGUAUUCACUCACUCAUUCAUUCAUGUACUCAGUCUUUUCCCUUGCAAGGCUGGGGGCCAAUCCAGAGCCUCGUGCAUGCUAAGCCACUAAGCUGUACUCCACCCCAACCCUCCUCAAUGUAUUAAAGUGCAUUUCAGGCUUCAUAUUAUUUAUCAUUAAAUACUUCCAUAUGUAGUACUUUAAAUUUUUUUGGCAGGCGGGGGGAUGCUAUUAAAUUUCACCCAUGCCAGAAGCAGAGCAAGAUGUACCCCACCUGCUUGUUGAGAGGCUAAAGCUACCCACCGGCUCCUUGUCACACGACCCACGAAGAAACCUGCUACCUCCCCAUUGGCUAACUUCUAGUAAAAGAGAUACAGCAUCCAUUUAGCUUCUUGUCCCUGCUCACUGCCGUCCACACCACAUGCACCUCUCCCAGCCCUGGUUAUAGUCUGGGCCUUGCUGGCCAGCAGAUCUGGAAGCUAGCAUGGGAUUAAGGUUUCUCCAGCCAGAGAAACGGACAGAAUGUUCAAGUAGGAAGGAACUGUAGAGGGCAGGCGAUCCCUUUCAGUUUAGAGAUAAGAAAAAAAACGAGUCAGAAGAGGGAGCAAAUUGAUUCCCAUCUGAAAUGCAAACCCAAUUAUAGGACUGUGCCGGCUGCUUUCUGUGUCAACUUGACACAGCUAGGGUCAUUUGAAAAGAAGGAAUCUUAAUUGAGAAAAUGCCUCCAUAUAACCGGCCUGUGGACAAGUCCGCGGGGCAUUUUCUUGAUUGAUGAUGGAUGUGGGAGAACCUAGCUCACUGUGGGUGGUGCUACCCCUGGGCAGGCGGUCCUGGAUGGUAUAAAAAAACAAACUAAGCAAGCCAGGGGGAACAAGCCAGUAAGCAACACUCCUCCAAGAUGAAACAAACCCUUUCCUCCCUGUGGUGAUUUGAAUGAUAACGGCCCCCAUAGUCUCAGUAUAUUUGACCGCUCAUCCCAGUUGGUAGAACUGUUUAGGAAGGAUUAAGAGCUGUGGCCUUGUCGGAGGAGGUGUGUCACUGGGGUUGGGCUUUGAAGCUUCAAAAGCCCACACCAGGCUCAAGUCUCUCUCUCUCUCUCUCUCUCUCUCUCUCUCUCUCUCUCUCUCUCUCUCUCUCCCUGCCUGAUGCCUGAGAAUCAAGAUGUAAGCUCUCAGCUACUGCUCCAGCACUAUUCCUGCCCACCUGCUACCACGCUCCCUGCCAUGGUGAAAAUGGAUUAAUCCUCUGGAACUGUAAGCAAGCCCCCAAUAAAAUGCUUUCUUUUAUAAGCUGCCUGGCCUUGGUGUCUCUUCACAGCAAUAGAACAGUAACUAAGACACUCUUCAAGUUGCUUUUAGUCAUGGUGUGAUGGAUUCAUCACAGCAAUAAAAAUUCUAAAAAAGACAAGGACUCAGCCCUCUAUCUAGGUUAGCAGUUCUUCACCUCUGGGGUUUCAACCCCUUUGGGGGUGCAACGACCCUUUCACAGAGGUUACCUAAGACCUCAGGAAAACACAGAUAUUUACAUUAUGAUUCAUA